UACGUAGGGGGCUAGCGUUGUCCGGAACCAUUGGGCGUAAAGAGCGUGUAGGCGGUUCGGUAAGUCCGCUGUGAAAGUCCAGGGCUCAACCCUGGAAUGCCGGUGGAUGCUGUCGGGCUAGAGUCCGGAAGAGGCGAGUGGAAUUCCUGGUGUAGCGGUGAAAUGCGCAGAUAUCAGGAGGAACACCAAUGGCGAAGGCAGCUCGCUGGGACGGUACUGACGCUGAGACGCGAAAGCGUGGGGAGCAAACAGG
Molecule: ribosomal RNA, 253 nt
Filed under: uncultured bacterium
Lineage: Bacteria
Description: partial 16S ribosomal RNA
Rfam family: Bacterial small subunit ribosomal RNA
Source: RNAcentral